UACGUAGGGGGGCGAGCGUUGUCCGGAAUCAUUGGGCGUAAAGCGCGUGUAGGCGGCCCGGUAAGUCCGCUGUGAAAGUCCAGGGCUCAACCCUGGGAUGCCGGUGGAUACUGUCGGGCUCGAGUCCGGAAGAGGCGAGUGGAAUUCCUGGUGUAGCGGUGAAAUGCGCAGAUAUCAGGAGGAACACCAAUGGCGAAGGCAGCUCGCUGGGACGUGACUGACGCUGAGACGCGAAAGCGUGGGGAGCAAACAGG
Molecule: ribosomal RNA, 254 nt
Filed under: uncultured bacterium
Lineage: Bacteria
Description: partial 16S ribosomal RNA
Rfam family: Bacterial small subunit ribosomal RNA
Source: RNAcentral